UUCCGGUUGAUCCUGCCGGACCCCACUGCUAUCGGGGUGGGACUAAAACAUGCAAGUCGAGCGCCUCCAAGCUAUGGUGAAGGCGCGGCAAACGGCUCAGUAACACGCGGCCAACCUACCCUUGGGACGGAGACAACCCCGGGAAACUGGGGCUAAUCCUCGAUAGGUAAGGAAUCCUGAAAUGGAUCUUUGCUGAAAGGGCGUCUAGACCAUGCUUCUUGACGUCGCCCAAGGAUGGAGCCGCGGCCGAUCAGGUAGUUGGCGAGGCAACGGCUCACCAAGCCUAUAACCGGUACGGGCCGUGAGAGCGGGAGCCCGGAGAUGGGCACUGAGACAAGGGCCCAGGCCCUACGGGGCGCAGCAGUUGCGAAAACUCCGCAAUGCGCGAAAGCGUGACGGGGCUACCCCGAGUGCCGCCCGUUGAGGGCGGCUUUUCCAUGGUGUAAGGAGCCGUGGGAAUAAGGAGAGGGCAAGACUGGUGUCAGCCGCCGCGGUAAUACCAGCUCUCCGAGUGGUGGGGACGAUUAUUGGGCUUAAAGCGUUCGUAGCCGGCUUAACAAGUCUUCCGUUAAAUCCAACGAUCUAAUCGUUGGGCUGCGGGAGAUACUGUUGGGCUAGGAGGCGGGAGAAGCCGACGGUAUUCUCGGGGUAGGGGUGAAAUCCUGUAAUCCCGGGAGGACCACCAGUGGCGAAGGCGGUCGGCUAGAACGCGCUCGACGGUGAGGGACGAAAGCUGGGGGAGCGAACCGGAUUAGAAACCCGGGUAGUCCCAGCUGUAAACGAUGCGGGCUAGGUGUUGGGGUGGCCACGAGCCACUUCAGUGCCGCAUGGAAAGCAAUUAAGCCCGCCGCCUGGGGAGUACGGCCGCAAGGCUGAAACUUAAAGGAAUUGGCGGGGG
RNAcentral lists this ribosomal RNA (898 nucleotides) under uncultured archaeon. RNAcentral describes it as "bacterial SSU rRNA". It matches the Rfam family "Archaeal small subunit ribosomal RNA", at positions 1 to 874 of the family's 1478-position model. The record is from RNAcentral.